UUCCGGUUGAUCCUGCCGGACCCGACUGCUAUCGGGGUGGCGCUAAGCCAUGGGAGUCGCACAUCCCACCGCCGUGGGGUGUGGCGAACGGCUGAGUAACACGUGGCUAACCUACCCUCGGGACGGGGACAACUCCGGGAAACUGGAGCUUAUCCCCGAUAGGCGGGGAGUCCUGGAACGGUUCUCCGCCCAAAGGGAUGGGAGGGGGUUAUCGCCUUCUAUCCGCCCGAGGAUGGGGCUGCGUCCCAUCAGGUUGUUGGCGGGGUAACGGCCCGCCAAGCCUAUAACGGGUAGGGGCCGUGAGAGCGGGAGCCCCCAGAUGGGCACUGAGACAAGGGCCCAGGCCCUACGGGGCGCACCAGGCGGGAAACCUCCGCAAUGCGGUAACCCGUGACGGGGUCACCCCGAGUGCUCCCCUUAUGGGGAGCUUUUCCCCGCUGCAGGAAGGCGGGGGUAAUAAGUGGGGGGCAAGACUGGUGUCAGCCGCCGCGGUAAUACCAGCCCCACGAGUGGUCGGGACGGUUAUUGGGCCUAAAGCGCCCGUAGCCGGCCCAGCAAGUUCCUGCCUAAAUCACCGGGCUCAACCCGGUGACUGGUGGGAAUACUGCUGGGCUAGGAGGCGGGAGAGGCCGGGGGUACUCCUAGGGUAGGGGCGAAAUCCUAUAAUCCUAGGAGGACCACCAGUGGCGAAGGCGCCCGGCUGGAACGCGCUCGACGGUGAGGGGCGAAAGCUGGGGGAGCAAACCGGAUUAGAUACCCGGGUAGUCCCAGCUGUAAACGAUGCGGACUAAGUUGUUGGAACGGAACCUAAGGUUCCGUCCAGUGCCGCAGGAAA
Molecule: ribosomal RNA, 835 nt
Filed under: uncultured archaeon
Lineage: Archaea
Description: bacterial SSU rRNA
Rfam family: Archaeal small subunit ribosomal RNA
Source: RNAcentral